CAAAAGAUAUCAUUUGAAGUGCACUGAUGCUGAACAUUUUAAGAUGUGUUUUACUGAGCGUGGCAGCAGAGCGCAAAGAAACCAAUAAAUGCAGUACCGUCUCAUCAAUGCCCUGCACAGCUGGAGCAAGACUUCCCUACUCUCACACCCCAUUCCUGUGCAGUCGAGACCAACAGGCCACUUCUCUCCUAAUUCCUUGCCGUACCCGGGUGUGAUCUGUUUGUUCGUCAUACUCAGCAGAUUUCACUCUCAGCUCCUCCCCACCUUACGGAGAACAGACCUCAAUAUAAAUGAGAGGACCUCAGUUUCAGUGGGUAUUAACCACCUGAUUCCAC
Molecule: non-coding RNA, 335 nt
Organism: Chiloscyllium plagiosum (whitespotted bambooshark)
Lineage: Eukaryota; Metazoa; Chordata; Chondrichthyes; Orectolobiformes; Hemiscylliidae
Source: RefSeq, a predicted model, not a curated record